UACAGGGGGGGCAAGCGUUGUUCGGAAUUACUGGGCGUAAAGGGCUCGUAGGCGGCCAACUAAGUCCGACGUGAAAUCCCAAAGCUUAACUUUGGAACUGCCUCGGAUACUGGAUGGCUUGAAUUCGGGAGAGGGAUGCAGAAUUCCAGGUGUAGCGGUGAAAUGCGUAGAUAUCUGGAGGAAUACCGGUGGCGAAGGCGGCAUCCUGGACCGACAUUGACGCUGAGGAGCGAAAGCUAGGGGAGCAAACGGG
RNAcentral lists this ribosomal RNA (253 nucleotides) under uncultured bacterium. RNAcentral's name for it is "partial 16S ribosomal RNA". It matches the Rfam family "Bacterial small subunit ribosomal RNA", at positions 524 to 776 of the family's 1533-position model. The record is from RNAcentral.